This is a long non-coding RNA of Dipodomys ordii (Ord's kangaroo rat), 356 nucleotides long. RefSeq lists it as uncharacterized. The record is from RefSeq and is a predicted model, not a curated record. The transcript has 3 exons. NCBI's taxonomy places the organism in Eukaryota, Metazoa, Chordata, Mammalia, Rodentia, Heteromyidae.
GAAAGCUGUGGUGGUGAAGAGGAGGAAGCUAUGAUGGCUUUGGCACCCUUUGAAGGACUGGCAGAGAAAAAGGAACCCAGGGGACUUAGCGAGGACCAACAGAGAAGGAAACCACAGAAAAACUGGUACCAGAUUCAAAAGCCAAGAGAGAUGAAAUGGCCAGUGUAGGAUGGCAAAGAGAGCGGGAGUCAUGGAUCCCUGGAUUCUACAGCACCAUGAUGCUGUUAGACUGCUUGGACCACAGAUUAUCACUCGGCACUUAGGUUUUCAUCUGCAUGGUAUUCUGUCUCCCCAGCUGCACCAUAAAUCUCUCUGAAGUCCAUUGCAAAGAGCUUUCCUCAUAAUAAACAACGAAU